Molecule: ribosomal RNA, 253 nt
Filed under: uncultured bacterium
Lineage: Bacteria
Description: partial 16S ribosomal RNA
Rfam family: Bacterial small subunit ribosomal RNA
Source: RNAcentral
UACGGAGGGUGCAAGCGUUAAUCGGAAUUACUGGGCGUAAAGCGCGCGUAGGUGGUUCGUUAAGUCAGAUGUGAAAGCCCCGGGCUCAACCUGGGAACGGCACCUGAUACUGGCGAGCUAGAGUACGGUAGAGGGGAGUGGAAUUUCCUGUGUAGCGGUGAAAUGCGUAGAUAUAGGAAGGAACACCAGUGGCGAAGGCGACUCCCUGGACUGAUACUGACACUGAGGUGCGAAAGCGUGGGGAGCAAACAGG